Non-coding RNA from Vicia faba (fava bean), 240 nucleotides. NCBI's taxonomy places the organism in Eukaryota, Viridiplantae, Streptophyta, Magnoliopsida, Fabales, Fabaceae. The record is from the annotation of a GenBank genome assembly.
AUGGCAAAGUUUUCUUUCAUGUCAAUUAUCGUCAUUGUCUUCUUUAUUUCAGUUAUAGAAAUGACAAGUGCUACAAACAUAUUGGCAAAAGAAUGUGUCAUCACUCGUGAUGGUCAAUGCAUCCUUGAACCUUGCAAAGAAUGGUGUUUAAAUACAUAUAAGGGUCAUGGAGCAUGCGUUGCUACAACUGGAAAUCCUCCUACUUAUAAAUGUCAUUGCACAUACUAUUGUUCCACCUAG